CCUACGGGGGGCAGCAGUGAGGAAUAUUGGUCAAUGGACGAGAGUCUGAACCAGCCAAGUAGCGUGAAGGAUGACUGCCCUAUGGGUUGUAAACUUCUUUUAUAUGGGAAUAAAACAGGGUAUGCAUACCCUCUUGUAUGUACCAUAUGAAUAAGGAUCGGCUAACUCCGUGCCAGCAGCCGCGGUAAUACGGAGGGUGCGAGCGUUAAUCGGAAUUACUGGGCGUAAAGCGCUCGUAGGCGGUAUGUCAAGUCAAGGGUGAAAUCCCCGCGCUCAACGUGGGAACUGCCUUUGAAACUGGCAAACUGGAGUGUGUGAGAGGAUAGUGGAAUUCCAGGUGUAGGAGUGAAAUCCGUAGAUAUCUGGAGGAACAUCAGUGGCGAAGGCGACUAUCUGGCACAUAACUGACGCUGAGGAGCGAAAGCGUGGGUAGCAAACAGGAUUAGAUACCCUUGUAGUC
This 460-nucleotide ribosomal RNA is filed under the name uncultured bacterium. RNAcentral describes it as "partial 16S ribosomal RNA". It matches the Rfam family "Bacterial small subunit ribosomal RNA", at positions 338 to 795 of the family's 1533-position model. The record is from RNAcentral.